UGGAGACGUAUCCGGAAGUUUAGCGACAGAAUGCAGGAUGCCUUAAAAUUGAGCAUUUCCUAGUAAUAGCUUAUUUAGAUCUAAUAAAUAAGCACGUGCUAGUAAUUUUAAGUAAACUGUAACGCUGCGUCAAAGGGCUUAAUCCUGCAAUUUUGGAAGUGAAACAUUUUUUUUUCACAAUAGCCUGAGCACAUUUUAGGCUACUGAAGUUUUCUUCAGUAACAGAGCUGUGGCGAUGGAGCAGCAGACUGAUGUGGAGGCAGCUCGAGAGAGGGAGGCAGAUGCAGCAGAUGCGAUCGCGGAGCCGCCGUCCCUCUCUUUUCCAGAGGUGUUCCGCAUGAUUCAAGCAGGGGAGGAGGUUCCUGGACUCCAAAAGCUGGACAUCAAACCUUGUAAUGACCAGCCCACGGUUUCUCAAAUGCCCAGAAAGUCAAAGCCAUGGGAAAAAUGAUUGCUUCCUAAUUCUAAAUUGUGAACUGAUUUACAACACAUUUUGCUUGUAUGCAAAAGUCACAAAUUAAUUACCUUUUUUUUUAAGUAUAUGAUUUUAAUACAUAGCAAAAGCGGGAUGCUGAAUGUAAAAUAGAGCAUGCAACAACAACAUCAAAAAAAAAACUGCCUAACUUUCUCUGAUUUUGCAUCAAAAGCUGCCUGAAGAUGGUGGUAUUUGCAGCUCAACAGCUUAAGACGGUUAAAACAAACCAAAGCCUCUCAUGACUGUCAAGUGGUUCCUCAUGGUCUCAUGUGCUUGUGAAAGGGAAAUGCAAAAGGUUGACACACAUCCUGCUUCAGAGCUUAUUAGAGGAAGUGAACUUCACUCACAACUGGUCAACUAGCAGUCAAAUGUACAGAUCAGAAACUAGAUAAAGCAUACCAGAACGCUGUAUGGUAUUUUUUUUUCACUACAGAAUGAAUGGAUCAGAAUAGCUUGCUCAUGUUUUAAUAAAAUGCCUUGGGUAUGUUUAGUCACUGUCAA
Cyprinus carpio (common carp) is the source of this 976-nucleotide long non-coding RNA. RefSeq lists it as uncharacterized. The record is from RefSeq and is a predicted model, not a curated record. Lineage: Eukaryota; Metazoa; Chordata; Actinopteri; Cypriniformes; Cyprinidae.